GCUCCAGUGGUGUAGACCGGUCAAGCAUAUCGGCCUUUCAAGCCGGGGAUCCCGGGUUCAAAUCCCGGCUGGAGCACCA
This 79-nucleotide transfer RNA is filed under the name Nitrososphaerota archaeon. RNAcentral describes it as "Thaumarchaeota archaeon tRNA-Glu". It matches the Rfam family "tRNA". From Rfam's summary of the family: Transfer RNA (tRNA) molecules are approximately 80 nucleotides in length. Their secondary structure includes four short double-helical elements and three loops (D, anti-codon, and T loops). Lineage: Archaea; Thermoproteati; Nitrososphaerota. The record is from RNAcentral.